RNAcentral lists this long non-coding RNA (881 nucleotides) under Bos taurus (domestic cattle). RNAcentral's name for it is "long non-coding RNA NONBTAT019026". The record is from RNAcentral. Lineage: Eukaryota; Metazoa; Chordata; Mammalia; Artiodactyla; Bovidae.
UCUCCUUGCCUCAGUUUGAGGAAUCUCACAUUUGUUGUAGAACUCUGUAGCUUGAUCUUUCACAGUAUCUCUCUCAAUAGGAAGAGCCUUUUAAAGAGGGCACAUUUUAAGUUUGGAUUCUAAUGUUUCUUGUUUAUGUUUUUUAAAACACUUUAUGCUUUUAUAAACCUCUAAAAAUUGGGUGAAGUGAUUGUAUCCAUUAAAUCUGCUUAGGGUUGCUAUCAAGUUAAAGAACUGCUGAUUCAUAAUUCUCAUUGCAAAAUUAAUAUUAAAGAACACCUACUAGAUAAACUCAGUGGUUUGUAUGCUUGUAUUUUAAAAAUAUGUGAGAAUUAUUUUCUGCAUCCUUUUUUAUGGUUUAGGUAGAAAUGAGUAAUAAAAAGUACCCAAGAAAAUGUUCUUUUGAUGGUACAAACAACUUAAAGGGGAAGCAGCAGAGAGACAACCGUAGCUAUUUCCUUAUCCUUGGUCUGUUAUAAUGACUUCCCUCUAGGCUCAAGCCAACCCCCAUCCUUACCCUAAUAUUCCCUAGGGCCUCCGGCUAUAAGAUCUUUCUGUUAUUCUCCUAAGAAACCACAUAGACAAGUCCCAUUGACCUUUAGCCUGGAUUAAAAUAUGUACAAGUAAUUCAUGCUUUUAAAAAAAUUCAGCAGUAUUUGUAGGAGAAAGUGAAAGUAUCUUCCAAUAAAAUUCCUCAGUCUUAUUUUUCUGCAAUGAAUGAUGGGUUUUAAGCCAUGAUUGUCCUGUGUUCUCCAGGACCCGUAAGAACACUUCUGAUCCUCUUAGCACCAUGUCUGUCCCUUUCCAGAGCACCCACCUCAGUGGUACACACUAUCCCUUUCUCCAGUUCUCUGUGGGGCCCUGGGCCUUGUUAACAGCAU